RNAcentral lists this transfer RNA (75 nucleotides) under Planctomycetota bacterium. RNAcentral's name for it is "Planctomycetes bacterium tRNA-Gln". It matches the Rfam family "tRNA". From Rfam's summary of the family: Transfer RNA (tRNA) molecules are approximately 80 nucleotides in length. Their secondary structure includes four short double-helical elements and three loops (D, anti-codon, and T loops). Lineage: Bacteria; Pseudomonadati; Planctomycetota. The record is from RNAcentral.
UACUCCGUGGUGUAAUUGGUAGCACGGCAGUUUCUGGCACUGUCAGUUGGGGUUCGAGUCCCUACGGGGUAACUA